UCACUGUAAGUCUGUAAGUCGCUCUGGAUAAGAGCGUCUGCUAAAUAACUAUUA
Salmo salar (Atlantic salmon) is the source of this 54-nucleotide non-coding RNA. Lineage: Eukaryota; Metazoa; Chordata; Actinopteri; Salmoniformes; Salmonidae. The record is from Rfam.